UCCAGUCCGCGGGAAGAAAUGUCACAAU
Molecule: small RNA, 28 nt
Filed under: Bombyx mori (domestic silkworm)
Lineage: Eukaryota; Metazoa; Arthropoda; Insecta; Lepidoptera; Bombycidae
Description: ovarian small RNA-26875
Source: RNAcentral